UAUGGCUAUAUCAGAUUGAAACACCGGUUCCCGUACGAUUACCGAAGUUAAGCAACAUCGAGAUGGUUAGUAUCUAGAUGGGUGACCGCUUGGGAAUACCAGGUACUGUCA
Acanthosepion pharaonis is the source of this 111-nucleotide non-coding RNA. Lineage: Eukaryota; Metazoa; Mollusca; Cephalopoda; Sepiida; Sepiidae. The record is from the annotation of a GenBank genome assembly.